RNAcentral lists this ribosomal RNA (548 nucleotides) under uncultured Bacteroidota bacterium. RNAcentral's name for it is "bacterial SSU rRNA". It matches the Rfam family "Bacterial small subunit ribosomal RNA", at positions 329 to 878 of the family's 1533-position model. Lineage: Bacteria; Pseudomonadati; Bacteroidota. The record is from RNAcentral.
CACGGGGGGCCUACGGGAGGCAGCAGUAGGGAAUAUUGGGCAAUGGUCGCAAGACUGACCCAGCCAUGCCGCGUGCAGGAAGACGGCCCUCUGGGUUGUAAACUGCUUUUAUCUGGGAAGAAAAAGUCCAUGCGUGGAAAAUUGCCGGUACCAGAUGAAUAAGCACCGGCUAACUCCGUGCCAGCAGCCGCGGUAAUACGGAGGGUGCAAGCGUUGUCCGGAUUUAUUGGGUUUAAAGGGUGCGUAGGCGGCUGAAUAAGUCAGCGGUGAAAGACUUCGGCUUAACCGGAGCAGUGCCGUUGAUACUGUUUAGCUUGAGUGUUGGAGGGGUACAUGGAAUUGAUGGUGUAGCGGUGAAAUGCAUAGAUACCAUCAGGAACACCGAUAGCGAAGGCAUUGUACUGGCCAACAACUGACGCUGAGGCACGAAAGUGUGGGGAUCGAACAGGAUUAGAUACCCUGGUAGUCCACACCGUAAACGAUGAUUACUCGCUGUUAUGGUGUAAGCUGUAGCGGCCAAGCGAAAGCGUUAAGUAAUCCCCCUGGAA